This 253-nucleotide ribosomal RNA is filed under the name uncultured bacterium. RNAcentral's name for it is "partial 16S ribosomal RNA". It matches the Rfam family "Bacterial small subunit ribosomal RNA", at positions 524 to 776 of the family's 1533-position model. The record is from RNAcentral.
UACAGAGACUGCAAACGUUAUUCGGAUUCACUGGGCGUAAAGGGUGCGCAGGUGGCCAGGUGUGUUAGGCGUGAAAGCCCGGGGCUUAACCCCGGAAUUGCACCUAAAACUACUUGGCUAGAGCAUUGGAGAGGGGAGCAGAAUUCACGGUGUAGCAGUGAAAUGCGUAGAUAUCGUGAGGAAUACCAGAGGCGAAGGCGGCUCCCUGGACAAUUGCUGACACUCAGGCACGAAAGCGUGGGGAGCAAAAGGG